AUACUGAAGCCUAUGGUGUUUAGUGUUGUUUUAAAAUUUCUAAACACAUUCUACAUUUGUAUUAAUGUAUAAUAACUCUCUUUCAUGGUACAUGAGCAUCGUUUUAAUUUUUUGUCAUUUAAUUUAUUAAAACUUCAUAAUAUUCCCUAAAUUGGUGGACUAACCACUAGAAAAUCGCUAUUCUCUAGAAAAACGAAUACAACAAAGGUUCUAAACCUCUUUGAACUUCAUCAAAUGUUAGUGUAGGAUGGAAAUAUGCAUUAAAAAUUAUUUUUAUUUUUUUUUUAAUUUUUCUCAAAAUCUAUGGGUUAACACCACUAUGAAAAUAUUGAGUUUUUGGGUAAAUACUCUAUAAACUGAAGCAUAUGAUCUUUAGUGUUGUUUUAAAAUUUCUAAACACAUUUUACAUUGGAAUUAAUCUAUGAUAAACUCUCUUUCAUGGUACAUGAGCAUCGUUUUAAUUUUGUUUUCAAUUAAUUUAGUAAAACUUCAUAAUACUCCCUAAUUUUUUUUUUUUUAAUACUCCCUAAAUUGGUGGACUAACCAUUAGAAAAUCGCUAUUCUCUAGAAAAACGGAGACAACAAAAGUUCCAAACCUCUUUGACCU
RNAcentral lists this long non-coding RNA (607 nucleotides) under Brassica rapa (field mustard). RNAcentral describes it as "long non-coding RNA (BRAP_LNC003174)". The record is from RNAcentral. Lineage: Eukaryota; Viridiplantae; Streptophyta; Magnoliopsida; Brassicales; Brassicaceae.